UAAGGAAUAUUGGGCAAUGGACGCAAGUCUGACCCAGCCAUGCCGCGUGAAGGAUGAAUGUCCUAUGGAUUGUAAACUUCUUUUAUGCAGGAAAAAUAUCCCGGUCGUGAACCGGGACUGAUGGUACUGUAUGAAUAAGCAUCGGCUAACUCCGUGCCAGCAGCCGCGGUAAUACGGAGGAUGCAAGCGUUAUCCGGAUUCAUUGGGUUUAAAGGGUGCGCAGGCGGAAUGAUAAGUCAGUGGUGAAAGCUCCGGGCUCAACCGUGAAACUGCCAUUGAUACU
RNAcentral lists this ribosomal RNA (283 nucleotides) under uncultured prokaryote. RNAcentral's name for it is "partial 16S ribosomal RNA". It matches the Rfam family "Bacterial small subunit ribosomal RNA", at positions 355 to 634 of the family's 1533-position model. The record is from RNAcentral.